Molecule: ribosomal RNA, 731 nt
Filed under: Actinomycetes bacterium
Lineage: Bacteria; Bacillati; Actinomycetota; Actinomycetes
Description: bacterial SSU rRNA
Rfam family: Bacterial small subunit ribosomal RNA
Source: RNAcentral
AGCUUGCUCCUCUGGAUCAGUGGCGAACGGGUGAGUAACACGUGAGUAACCUGCCCUUGACUCUGGGAUAAGCGUUGGAAACGACGUCUAAUACCGGAUACGAACCGUGGAGGCAUCUCCUGCGGUUGGAAAGAACUUCGGUCAAGGAUGGACUCGCGGCCUAUCAGGUAGUUGGUGAGGUAACGGCUCACCAAGCCGACGACGGGUAGCCGGCCUGAGAGGGUGACCGGCCACACUGGGACUGAGACACGGCCCAGACUCCUACGGGAGGCAGCAGUGGGGAAUAUUGCACAAUGGGCGAAAGCCUGAUGCAGCAACGCCGCGUGAGGGACGACGGCCUUCGGGUUGUAAACCUCUUUUAGCAGGGAAGAAGCGAAAGUGACGGUACCUGCAGAAAAAGCACCGGCUAACUACGUGCCAGCAGCCGCGGUAAUACGUAGGGUGCAAGCGUUGUCCGGAAUUAUUGGGCGUAAAGAGCUCGUAGGCGGUUUGUCGCGUCUGCUGUGAAAACGCGAGGCUCAACCUCGCGCCUGCAGUGGGUACGGGCAGACUAGAGUGCGGUAGGGGAGAUUGGAAUUCCUGGUGUAGCGGUGGAAUGCGCAGAUAUCAGGAGGAACACCGAUGGCGAAGGCAGAUCUCUGGGCCGUAACUGACGCUGAGGAGCGAAAGCGUGGGGAGCGAACAGGAUUAGAUACCCUGGUAGUCCACGCCGUAAACGUUGGGAACUAGAU